CCCUUAGAUGUUCGGGGCUGCACAUGCGCUACACUGAAGGAAUCAACGUGUAUUUGCCCUUGCCCGAAAGGGUUGGGUAACCCGUUGAACCUCCUUCGUGCUAGGGAUUGGGGCUUGUAAUUAUUCCCCAUGAACGAGGAAUUCCCAGUAAGCGCGAGUCAUAAGCUCGCGUUGAUUACGUCCCUGCCCUUUGUACACACCGCCCGUCGCUACUACCGAUUGAAUGGUUUAGUGAGAUCCUCGGAUUGGUCCCGCCACGGGAGGAAACUUCCGAGGCGGAGUGCCGAGAAGACGAUCAAACUUGAUCAUUUAGAGGAAGUAAAAGUCGUAACA
Molecule: ribosomal RNA, 333 nt
Filed under: uncultured eukaryote
Lineage: Eukaryota
Description: partial 18S ribosomal RNA
Rfam family: Eukaryotic small subunit ribosomal RNA
Source: RNAcentral